This 253-nucleotide ribosomal RNA is filed under the name uncultured bacterium. RNAcentral describes it as "partial 16S ribosomal RNA". It matches the Rfam family "Bacterial small subunit ribosomal RNA", at positions 524 to 776 of the family's 1533-position model. The record is from RNAcentral.
UACGAAGGUCCCAAGCGUUAUCCGGAUUUAUUGGGCUUAAAGGGUGCGUAGGCGGGCUAUUAAGUCAGUGGUGAAAGCCCCAAGCUUAACUUGGGAACUGCCAUUGAUACUGAUGGUCUUGAGUACAGUUGAGGUGGGCGGAAUGUGUCAUGUAGCGGUGAAAUGCUUAGAUAUGACACAGAACACCGAUUGCGAAGGCAGCUCACUAAACUGUAACUGACGCUGAGGCACGAAAGCGUGGGGAGCAAACAGG